CGGGACGGGUGAGUAACACGUGGAUAACCUACCUAUAAGACUGGGAUAACUUCGGGAAACCGGAGCUAAUACCGGAUAAUAUAUUGAACCGCAUGGUUCAAUAGUGAAAGACGGUUUUGCUGUCACUUAUAGAUGGAUCCGCGCCGCAUUAGCUAGUUGGUAGGGUAACGGCUUACCAAGGCACGAUGCGUAGCCGACCUGAGAGGGUGAUCGGCCACACUGGAACUGAGACACGGUCCAG
This 241-nucleotide ribosomal RNA is filed under the name uncultured bacterium. RNAcentral describes it as "partial 16S ribosomal RNA". It matches the Rfam family "Bacterial small subunit ribosomal RNA", at positions 100 to 334 of the family's 1533-position model. The record is from RNAcentral.